Molecule: ribosomal RNA, 254 nt
Filed under: uncultured bacterium
Lineage: Bacteria
Description: partial 16S ribosomal RNA
Rfam family: Bacterial small subunit ribosomal RNA
Source: RNAcentral
GACAGAGGUGCCAAGCGUUUAGGCGGAAUCACUGGGCUUAAAGCGUGUGUAGGCGGAUUCCUAAGUACCUUGUGAAAUCCCCCGGCUCAACCGGGGAACUGCUUGGUAUACUGGGUGUCUUGAGCCAACUAGGGGCUGCCGGAACAAGUGGUGGAGCGGUGAAAUGCGUAGAUAUCACUUGGAACGCCAACGGUGAAAACAGGCAGCUGGGGUUGUGCUGACGCUGAGACACGAAAGCCAGGGGAGCAAACGGG